This is a long non-coding RNA of Prunus persica (peach), 490 nucleotides long. RefSeq lists it as uncharacterized. Lineage: Eukaryota; Viridiplantae; Streptophyta; Magnoliopsida; Rosales; Rosaceae. The record is from RefSeq and is a predicted model, not a curated record. The transcript has 2 exons.
CUAUUUCCUAUGUGUGGUAUGAACUUGGCAUUCAACCGUGAAUUGAUUGGACUAGCAAUGUAAUUUGGACUCAUGGGUAUUGGUGAGCCAAUUGGAAGAUAUGGUGAUAUGUGGGCUAGCUGGUGCAUGAAGGUUGAGGGCAACAAAGUUGGUGACCGGUGAUGGCUGGCUGGAAGUUUGUGGCAGCGGCUGGUGGGCAGUAGCUGGCCGGAAACUGGCAACGGUGGCUGACCGGAAACUGGCGGCGGCUGGUGGCGGCGACUGGCAAGAAUAUGGAUGCUGUGGCUGGCCGGCAGGUGCUGGCCCGGCGAUGGGCGGUUGGCCGGAAGGUGGAUUGCUGGAGGUUUUGUGUAACUGGAACAUGGUUUUGGUAAAAUUAGAGGGAGUGGCAUUUUGUGUAAUUUUGAUGUUUUUUAAUUACAUUAUUGUAAAAUUAGGUACUACUUUUUGGUCUUUGGCCUUAUGCUAAUUAGGUGAAAUUGUAUUCCUA